UACGUAGGGGGCAAGCGUUGUCCGGAAUCAUUGGGCGUAAAGAGCGUGUAGGCGGCCCGAUAAGUCCGCCGUGAAAGUCCAGGGCUCAACCCUGGAAUGCCGGUGGAAACUGUCGGGCUCGAGUCCGGAAGAGGCGAGUGGAAUUCCCGGUGUAGCGGUGAAAUGCGCAGAUAUCGGGAGGAACACCUAUGGCGAAGGCAGCUCGCUGGGACGUUACUGACGCUGAGACGCGAAAGCGUGGGGAGCAAACAGG
RNAcentral lists this ribosomal RNA (253 nucleotides) under uncultured bacterium. Its description in RNAcentral is "partial 16S ribosomal RNA". It matches the Rfam family "Bacterial small subunit ribosomal RNA", at positions 524 to 776 of the family's 1533-position model. The record is from RNAcentral.